GAUGAACGCUGGCGGCGUGCCUAAUACAUGCAAGUCGAACGCACAGCGAAAGGUGCUUGCACCUUUCAAGUGAGUGGCGAACGGGUGAGUAACACGUGGACAACCUGCCUCAAGGCUGGGGAUAACAUUUGGAAACAGAUGCUAAUACCGAAUAAAACUUAGUGUCGCAUGACACAAAGUUAAAAGGCGCUUUGGCGUCACCUAGAGAUGGAUCCGCGGUGCAUUAGUUAGUUGGUGGGGUAAAGGCCUACCAAGACAAUGAUGCAUAGCCGAGUUGAGAGACUGAUCGGCCACAUUAGGACUGAGACACGGCCCAAACUCCUACGGGAGGCUGCAGUAGGGAAUCUUCCACAAUGGGCGAAAGCCUGAUGGAGCAACGCCGCGUGUGUGAUGAAGGCUUUCGGGUCGUAAAGCACUGUUGUAUGGGGAGAACAGCUAGAAUAGGGAAUGAUUUUAGUUUGACGGUACCAUACCAGAAAGGGACGGCUAAAUACGUGCCAGCAGCCGCGGUAAUACGUAUGUCCCGAGCGUUAUCCGGAUUUAUUGGGCGUAAAGCGAGCGCAGACGGUUGAUUAAGUCUGAUGUGAAAGCCCGGAGCUCAACUCCGGAAUGGCAUUGGAAACUGGUUAACUUGAGUGCAGUAGAGGUAAGUGGAACUCCAUGUGUAGCGGUGGAAUGCGUAGAUAUAUGGAAGAACACCAGUGGCGAAGGCGGCUUACUGGACUGUAACUGACGUUGAGGCUCGAAAGUGUGGGUAGCAAACAGGAUUAGAUACCCUGGUAGUCCACACCGUAAACGAUGAACACUAGGUGUUAGGAGGUUUCCGCCUCUUAGUGCCGAAGCUAACGCAUUAAGUGUUCCGCCUGGGGAGUACGACCGCAAGGUUGAAACUCAAAGGAAUUGACGGGGACCCGCACAAGCGGUGGAGCAUGUGGUUUAAUUCGAAGCAACGCGAAGAACCUUACCAGGUCUUGACAUCCUUUGAAGCUUUUAGAGAUAGAAGUGUUCUCUUCGGAGACAAAGUGACAGGUGGUGCAUGGUCGUCGUCAGCUCGUGUCGUGAGAUGUUGGGUUAAGUCCCGCAACGAGCGCAACCCUUAUUGUUAGUUGCCAGCAUUCAGAUGGGCACUCUAGCGAGACUGCCGGUGACAAACCGGAGGAAGGCGGGGACGACGUCAGAUCAUCAUGCCCCUUAUGACCUGGACUACACACGUGCUACAAUGGCGUAUACAACGAGUUGCCAACCCGCGAGGGUGAGCUAAUCUCUUAAAGUACGUCUCAGUUCGGAUUGUAGUCUGCAACUCGACUACAUGAAGUCGGAAUCGCUAGUAAUCGCGGAUCAGCACGCCGCGGUGAAUACGUUCCCGGGUCUUGUACACACCGCCCGUCACACCAUGGGAGUUUGUAAUGCCCAUAGCCGGUGGCCUAACCUUUUAGGAAGGAGCCGUCUAAGGCAGGACAGAUGACUGGGGUG
Molecule: ribosomal RNA, 1473 nt
Filed under: Leuconostoc pseudomesenteroides
Lineage: Bacteria; Bacillati; Bacillota; Bacilli; Lactobacillales; Lactobacillaceae
Description: bacterial SSU rRNA
Rfam family: Bacterial small subunit ribosomal RNA
Source: RNAcentral